Angiostrongylus cantonensis (rat lungworm) is the source of this 72-nucleotide non-coding RNA. The record is from Rfam. Lineage: Eukaryota; Metazoa; Nematoda; Chromadorea; Rhabditida; Metastrongylidae.
GCUUCCAUGGCGCAAUAGGCAGCGUGUUCGGCUGUUAACCGAUAGGUAGGUGGUUCGAGCACACAGGGAGCG